AUCUCUAAAGCAGCUUACCACAUAAGUGAGAAUCGGUGAAAAUAAGCAAAGUGUUUGGUGGGAUUCUCACUUAUUUCCACUAAUAAACCGCUUAUAAGCGAAAAUAAAUGGGUGUACCAACUGGCACGUAUUUUAUUCCCUCCCAGCCUGCCUCGCUCCCUCUCCCUAGCUGUUCCCCUCCCCUCCCGACGCCUCGCCUCUUCCUCCUCCACCCUGGCCCCCUCGCACUCCUCCCCGCUGG
RNAcentral lists this long non-coding RNA (241 nucleotides) under Setaria italica (foxtail millet). RNAcentral's name for it is "long non-coding RNA (SITA_LNC005768)". Lineage: Eukaryota; Viridiplantae; Streptophyta; Magnoliopsida; Poales; Poaceae. The record is from RNAcentral.